UGCAGAUGUGACGGCGCCUGACCUUACACGCCGCGGCGCAGCGUCUCAGAUGACAACGUUCCUUCCGGCGCCACCUGCAAUCAGUGUCUCUCCCAAACACCUCAGAAAGUGUCGUAAUUUCAAAGUGCUGCGAAAUCAUGUCUGUUGAGUUGUGGUCCAUGAGACACGACGCGAAUGAACUACACGACUCCCUUGACCGAGAGAGAUCAGAGUAACGAUGUGACGGCAAGGUCCUCUCUACAGCGUCCGUCCUGCAAUUCGUCACACCCGUGACACACUGCAACACGUUAUUCACUGACCAGAACUGGCAUUCGUGUGUGUGUGUGUGUGUGUGUGUGUGUGUGUGUGUGUGUGUGUGUAUCAGAGUGUG
Eriocheir sinensis (Chinese mitten crab) is the source of this 370-nucleotide long non-coding RNA. RefSeq lists it as uncharacterized. NCBI's taxonomy places the organism in Eukaryota, Metazoa, Arthropoda, Malacostraca, Decapoda, Varunidae. The transcript has 4 exons. The record is from RefSeq and is a predicted model, not a curated record.